CCUACGGGGAGCAGCAGUGAGGAAUAUUGGUCAAUGGCCGCAGGGCUGAACCAGCCAAGUCGCGUGAGGGAUGACGGUCCUAUGGAUUGUAAACCUUUUUUGUCAGGGAGCAAAGGGCGCCACGUGUGGCGCUUUGCGAGUACCUGAAGAAAAAGCAUCGGCUAACUCCGUGCCAGCAGCCGCGGUAAUACGGAGGAUGCGAGCGUUAUCCGGAUUUAUUGGGUUUAAAGGGUGCGCAGGCGGAAUGUCAAGUCAGCGGUAAAAUUUCGGGGCUCAACCCCGUCGUGCCGUUGAAACUGGCGUUCUUGAGUGAGCGAGAAGUAUGCGGAAUGCGUGGUGUAGCGGUGAAAUGCAUAGAUAUCACGCAGAACUCCGAUUGCGAAGGCAGCAUACCGGCGCUCAACUGACGCUCAUGCACGAAAGCGUGGGUAUCGAACAGGAUUAGAUACCCGGGUAGUC
RNAcentral lists this ribosomal RNA (459 nucleotides) under uncultured bacterium. RNAcentral describes it as "partial 16S ribosomal RNA". It matches the Rfam family "Bacterial small subunit ribosomal RNA", at positions 338 to 795 of the family's 1533-position model. The record is from RNAcentral.